This 253-nucleotide ribosomal RNA is filed under the name uncultured bacterium. RNAcentral describes it as "partial 16S ribosomal RNA". It matches the Rfam family "Bacterial small subunit ribosomal RNA", at positions 524 to 776 of the family's 1533-position model. The record is from RNAcentral.
UACGGAGGGUGCAAGCGUUGUUCGGAAUUACUGGGCGUAAAGGGCGCGUAGGCGGCCUUCUAAGUCGGACGUGAAAUCCCUCGGCUUAACCGAGGAACUGCGUCCGAUACUGAAAGGCUUGAAUCCGGGAGAGGGAUGUGGAAUUCCAGGUGUAGCGGUGAAAUGCGUAGAUAUCUGGAGGAACACCGGUGGCGAAGGCGGCAUCCUGGACCGGUAUUGACGCUGAGGCGCGAAAGCUAGGGGAGCAAACGGG